Molecule: ribosomal RNA, 531 nt
Filed under: fungal sp. E15215A
Lineage: Eukaryota; Fungi
Description: eukaryotic LSU rRNA
Rfam family: 5.8S ribosomal RNA (bases 180-333)
Source: RNAcentral
CCUGCGGAGGGAUCAUUACCGAGUUUACAACUCCCAAACCCCUGUGAACAUACCUAUAAUUUGCCUCGGCGGACUCAACGACGGUGCUCCGAGAAAUCGGGCGCCGCUCGCUGCCAGAGGAACCCCAAACUCUAUGUAUUCUUGUGGAUCUUCUGAGUAAAACAAAACAAAUAAAUCAAAACUUUCAACAACGGAUCUCUUGGUUCUGGCAUCGAUGAAGAACGCAGCGAAAUGCGAUAAGUAAUGUGAAUUGCAGAAUUCAGUGAAUCAUCGAAUCUUUGAACGCACAUUGCGCCCGCCAGUAUUCUGGCGGGCAUGCCUGUUCGAGCGUCAUUUCAACCCUCAAGCCCCCGGGCUUGGUGUUGGGGAUCGGCGAUAGUCGCCGUCCCCCAAAUCUAGUGGCGGUCUCGCUGUAGCCUCCAUUGCGUAGUAGCUAACACCUCGCAACUGGAACGCGGCGCGGCCAAGCCGUUAAACCCCCAACUUCUGAAUGUUGACCUCGGAUCAGGUAGGAAUACCCGCUGAACUUAA